GACGAACGCUGGCGGCGUGCUUAACACAUGCAAGUCGAGCGGUAAGGCCCUUUAGUGGGUACGCGAGUGGCGGACGGGUGCGUAAGACGAAAGUAAGCUGCCCACGCCUUUGGGCUAAGGCUAGGAAACUGGAACUAAUACUGGAAAUGUGCCCCUGCUGCAAGGAGGGGGUUGAAAAGCUCCGGAUGUUGUGGAUGGACUCGCGGCCGAUCCGGUGUUUGGUGGGUUAGUGGCCUACCAAGGGGGCGACGGGUGGCCGGCCUGAGAGGGUGACCGGCGACAUUGGGACUGAGAGACGGCCCAGACGCCUACGGUAGGCAGUAGUGGGGAAUAUUGCCGAAUGGGCGCAAGCCUGAUGAAGCAACGCCGCGUGCGGGAUGACCGCCUUCUGGUGGAAAACCGCGUUCAGCAGGGACGAAGCUUUUUGUGACGGUACCUGCAGAAGAAGCACCGGCUAACUACGUG
This 465-nucleotide ribosomal RNA is filed under the name uncultured bacterium. RNAcentral's name for it is "partial 16S ribosomal RNA". It matches the Rfam family "Bacterial small subunit ribosomal RNA", at positions 28 to 507 of the family's 1533-position model. The record is from RNAcentral.